This 341-nucleotide transfer-messenger RNA is filed under the name uncultured Fructobacillus sp. It matches the Rfam family "transfer-messenger RNA". From Rfam's summary of the family: Bacterial tmRNA, also known as 10Sa RNA or SsrA, is named for its dual tRNA and mRNA-like properties. Its role is to liberate the mRNA from a stalled ribosome. To accomplish this part of the tmRNA is used as a reading frame that ends in a translation stop signal. The record is from RNAcentral. Lineage: Bacteria; Bacillati; Bacillota; Bacilli; Lactobacillales; Lactobacillaceae.
AUUCGACAGGCUAUUACGAGCAUUAGCUGCAUUCCGCCGUCCGGGCGUUAAGCGGGCAGAAAUUUAACUGCAAAAAACAAUAACUCUUACGCUGUCGCUGCCUAAAAACCAGUGACUCGUGGGCAUGCUUGCUAGGCUAACAUGGUGAGUCUGCUUUUAUAAAUGGUUAGCUCGAUUCAAUGACGAUGCCUGCGCGGUUGAAUUUAAAACCAAUUAGGUCCCGGCCAAAGUCAAGUUCUGGACAAUGGCUGCUUUGGUUGCGGUAAUAAUGAUUGCCCUAUGAAUGUAGACGCUUAUGUGGCGGAUGGUUUGGACAGGGGUUCGACUCCCCUCAAGUCCAU